ACGCUCGACACCUACGGGAGCAGCAGUGGGGAAUAUUGCACAAUGGGGGAAACCCUGAUGCAGCGACGCCGCGUGAGCGAAGAAGUAUUUCGGUAUGUAAAGCUCUAUCAGCAGGGAAGAAAAUGACGGUACCUGACUAAGAAGCCCCGGCUAACUACGUGCCAGCAGCCGCGGUAAUCUGAGGCGGGCGUGGACGAAGGC
Molecule: ribosomal RNA, 201 nt
Filed under: uncultured bacterium
Lineage: Bacteria
Description: partial 16S ribosomal RNA
Rfam family: Bacterial small subunit ribosomal RNA
Source: RNAcentral